RNAcentral lists this ribosomal RNA (495 nucleotides) under uncultured bacterium. Its description in RNAcentral is "partial 16S ribosomal RNA". It matches the Rfam family "Bacterial small subunit ribosomal RNA", at positions 28 to 507 of the family's 1533-position model. The record is from RNAcentral.
GACGAACGCUGGCGGCGUGCCUAAUACAUGCAAGUAGAACGCUGAAGGAGGAGCUUGCUUCUCUGGAUGAGUUGCGAACGGGUGAGUAACGCGUAGGUAACCUGCCUGGUAGCGGGGGAUAACUAUUGGAAACGAUAGCUAAUACCGCAUAAGAGUAGAUGUUGCAUGACAUUUGCUUAAAAGGUGCAAUUGCAUCACUACCAGAUGGACCUGCGUUGUAUUAGCUAGUGGGUGGGGUAACGGCUCACCAAGGCGACGAUACAUAGCCGACCUGAGAGGGUGAUCGGCCACACUGGGACUGAGACACGGCCCAGACUCCUACGGGAGGCAGCAGUAGGGAAUCUUCGGCAAUGGACGGAAGUCUGACCGAGCAACGCCGCGUGAGUGAAGAAGGUUUUCGGAUCGUAAAGCUCGGUUGUAAGAGAAGAACGAGUGUGAGAGUGGAAAGUUCACACUGUGACGGUAUCUUACCAGAAAGGGACGGCUAACUACGUG